UGGGGAAUAUUGGACAAUGGGCGAAAGCCUGAUCCAGCCAUGCCGCGUGUGUGAAGAAGGUCUUCGGAUUGUAAAGCACUUUAAGUUGGGAGGAAGGGCAUUAACCUAAUACGUUAGUGUUUUGACGUUACCGACAGAAUAAGCACCGGCUAACUCUGUGCCAGCAGCCGCGGUAAUACAGAGGGUGCAAGCGUUGAUCGGAAUUACUGGGCGUAAAGCGCGCGUAGGUGGUUUGUUAAGUUGGAUGUGAAAUCCCCGGGCUCAACCUGGGAACUGCAUUCAAAACUGACUGACUAGAGUAUGGUAGAGGGUGGUGGAAUUUCCUGUGUAGCGGUGAAAUGCGUAGAUAUAGGAAGGAACACCAGUGGCGAAGGCGACCACCUGGACUAAUACUGACACUGAGGUGCGAAAGCGUGGGGAGCAAACA
Molecule: ribosomal RNA, 427 nt
Filed under: uncultured bacterium
Lineage: Bacteria
Description: partial 16S ribosomal RNA
Rfam family: Bacterial small subunit ribosomal RNA
Source: RNAcentral